UGAUAUGUUAGUGGAUAACUCAGCCAUUUGU
RNAcentral lists this non-coding RNA (31 nucleotides) under Mus musculus (house mouse). Lineage: Eukaryota; Metazoa; Chordata; Mammalia; Rodentia; Muridae. The record is from RNAcentral.